GGCCGUUAAUUGAAACCACGUGACACUGGUAGUUUGAAGGGGAAAAACUCAGGAUAAAACGUCCGGCUGAUGAAGACGGUGCUGGAGAGACGUUAUUUCUGCUCAACAUAUGAAAGCUCCACCCACCUCCAGAUGUGAUAGGCCAGCAGGGGUACAUUGAGUCCAAGCGUCAGCCAUUCAGCAGCGCACAGGAACAUAACGCAGAAGAAAACAUGGAUGAGGACGGUGUGAUCACAGGAAAUAAAGUUGAAGAGAGAGUAAGGAAUGGGAUCAGGAAAGGUCAAUGAGUUGGGACUCGAACUCGGGAUGCUCAUGGCACUGUUGCCAUAAAGGUCAG
Molecule: long non-coding RNA, 337 nt
Filed under: Danio rerio (zebrafish)
Lineage: Eukaryota; Metazoa; Chordata; Actinopteri; Cypriniformes; Danionidae
Description: si:ch211-67f24.11 (ENSDARG00000103360.2)
Source: RNAcentral